GCACAAGCGGUGGAGCAUGUGGUUUAAUUCGACGCAACGCGCAGAACCUUACCAGGGUUUGACAUCCUGAGACCGCUCCUGAAAGGGAGUUUCCCGCAAGGGCUCAGAGACAGGUGCUGCAUGGCUGUCGUCAGCUCGUGUCGUGAGAUGUUGGGUUAAGUCCCGCAACGAGCGCAACCCCCGCCUUUAGUUGCCAUCAUUAAGUUGGGCACUCUAGAGGGACCGCCGGCGACAAGCCGGAGGAAGGUGGGGAUGACGUCAAGUCCUCAUGGCCCUUACACCCUGGGCUACACACGUGCUACAAUGGCGGUGACAGUGAGCAGCUAACUCGCGAGAGUAUGCUAAUCUCAAAAAACCGUCCCAGUUCAGAUUGCACUCUGCAACUCGAGUGCAUGAAGGUGGAAUCGCUAGUAAUCGCAGAACAGCAGGCUGCGGUGAAUACGUUCCCGGGC
This 452-nucleotide ribosomal RNA is filed under the name uncultured bacterium. Its description in RNAcentral is "bacterial SSU rRNA". It matches the Rfam family "Bacterial small subunit ribosomal RNA", at positions 923 to 1379 of the family's 1533-position model. The record is from RNAcentral.